RNAcentral lists this ribosomal RNA (465 nucleotides) under Vreelandella stevensii. RNAcentral's name for it is "partial 16S ribosomal RNA". It matches the Rfam family "Bacterial small subunit ribosomal RNA", at positions 338 to 795 of the family's 1533-position model. Lineage: Bacteria; Pseudomonadati; Pseudomonadota; Gammaproteobacteria; Oceanospirillales; Halomonadaceae. The record is from RNAcentral.
CCUACGGGUGGCUGCAGUGGGGAAUAUUGGACAAUGGGGGGAACCCUGAUCCAGCCAUGCCGCGUGUGUGAAGAAGGCCCUCGGGUUGUAAAGCACUUUCAGUGAGGAAGAACGCCUGGUGGUUAAUACCCAUCAGGAAAGACAUCACUCACAGAAGAAGCACCGGCUAACUCCGUGCCAGCAGCCGCGGUAAUACGGAGGGUGCGAGCGUUAAUCGGAAUUACUGGGCGUAAAGCGCGCGUAGGUGGCUUGAUAAGCCGGUUGUGAAAGCCCCGGGCUCAACCUGGGAACGGCAUCCGGAACUGUCAAGCUAGAGGGCAGGAGAGGAAGGUAGAAUUCCCGUUGUAGCGGUGAAAUGCGUAGAGAUCGGGAGGAAUAGCAGUGGCGAAGGCGGCCUUCUGGACUGACACUGACACUGAGGUGCGAAAGCGUGGGUAGCAAACAGGAUUAGAUACCCUUGUAGUC